RNAcentral lists this ribosomal RNA (898 nucleotides) under Sarcopodium macalpinei. RNAcentral's name for it is "LSU rRNA". It matches the Rfam family "Eukaryotic large subunit ribosomal RNA", at positions 35 to 965 of the family's 3401-position model. Lineage: Eukaryota; Fungi; Ascomycota; Sordariomycetes; Hypocreales; Nectriaceae. The record is from RNAcentral.
UAAGCAUAUCAAUAAGCGGAGGAAAAGAAACCAACAGGGAUUGCCCUAGUAACGGCGAGUGAAGCGGCAACAGCUCAAAUUUGAAAUCUGGCCCUCGGGUCCGAGUUGUAAUUUGUAGAGGAUGCUUUUGGCGCGGUGCCUUCCGAGUUCCCUGGAACGGGACGCCAUAGAGGGUGAGAGCCCCGUCUGGUUGGACACCAAGCCUCUGUAAAGCUCCUUCGACGAGUCGAGUAGUUUGGGAAUGCUGCUCUAAAUGGGAGGUAUAUGUCUUCUAAAGCUAAAUACCGGCCAGAGACCGAUAGCGCACAAGUAGAGUGAUCGAAAGAUGAAAAGCACUUUGAAAAGAGAGUUAAAUAGCACGUGAAAUUGUUGAAAGGGAAGCGUUUAUGACCAGACUUGGGCUUGGUUGAUCAUCCCGCGUUCUCGCGGGUGCACUCUUCCGGCUCAGGCCAGCAUCAGUUUGCCGCGGGGGAUAAAGGCGUCGGGAAUGUGGCUCCCUCGGGAGUGUUAUAGCCCUUCGUGCAAUACCCUGCGGUGGACUGAGGACCGCGCUUCGGCAAGGAUGCUGGCGUAAUGGUCAUCAACGACCCGUCUUGAAACACGGACCAAGGAGUCGUCUUCGUAUGCGAGUGUUCGGGUGUCAAACCCCUACGCGUAAUGAAAGUGAACGCAGGUGAGAGCUUCGGCGCAUCAUCGACCGAUCCUGAUGUUCUCGGAUGGAUUUGAGUAAGAGCAUACGGGGCCGGACCCGAAAGAAGGUGAACUAUGCCUGUAUAGGGUGAAGCCAGAGGAAACUCUGGUGGAGGCUCGCAGCGGUUCUGACGUGCAAAUCGAUCGUCAAAUAUGGGCAUGGGGGCGAAAGACUAAUCGAACCUUCUAGUAGCUGGUUUCCGCCGAA